This 276-nucleotide long non-coding RNA is filed under the name Eucalyptus grandis. RNAcentral describes it as "long non-coding RNA (EGRA_LNC002452)". The record is from RNAcentral. Lineage: Eukaryota; Viridiplantae; Streptophyta; Magnoliopsida; Myrtales; Myrtaceae.
AAUUCCGGUGAGAAGACACAGCAGGCGCACCGGCAACGAACGGGUCAGCAGUGAAUAGGGGACUGCAGGCGUGAACGUCGCUUGGAAAGGAAGCUUGAGCAGCGCGCAAGGGCGGAGGCGUGGCUACGGGUCAGUCGGAGCAGAGGUAGCGGCGAUCGGUCCCACAGGCGCCGGUGACAGUGCUGGGCUGUAGGUCGCGGUGGGCCUCAGCCCCAAACGGCGUCGGGGUGGCGCAAGCUUCGGGCGUCAGGUUGAGGCAAGGACAGCGGCGGGACG